RNAcentral lists this small nucleolar RNA (70 nucleotides) under Macleaya cordata. Lineage: Eukaryota; Viridiplantae; Streptophyta; Magnoliopsida; Ranunculales; Papaveraceae. The record is from RNAcentral.
UGAGUGCCGAUGAUGGUUAUAAAUAUACUUUGAGUAACAACAAUGAAAAGAAUUUAAUCUGAGGCACUUC